GCGUCGAUGGUUUAGUGGUAGAAUACGGCGUUGCCAUCGCCGUGACCAGGGUUCAAUUGUAUGUUCAAUUCCCGGUCGACGCA
This 83-nucleotide transfer RNA is filed under the name Naegleria gruberi. RNAcentral describes it as "tRNA-Gly (GCC) (tRNA-Gly-GCC-5-1)". It matches the Rfam family "tRNA". From Rfam's summary of the family: Transfer RNA (tRNA) molecules are approximately 80 nucleotides in length. Lineage: Eukaryota; Heterolobosea; Eutetramitea; Acrasida; Naegleriidae. The record is from Rfam by way of RNAcentral.